Molecule: ribosomal RNA, 374 nt
Filed under: uncultured organism
Description: partial 16S ribosomal RNA
Rfam family: Bacterial small subunit ribosomal RNA
Source: RNAcentral
GGAGGGCGCGAGCGUUAUUCGGAAUUAUUGGGCGUAAAGCGCGUGUAGGCGGCUGGGCAAGUCGGAUGUGAAAGCCCGGGGCUCAACCCCGGAAUUGCAUUCGAAACUGCCCAGCUAGAGUCUCGGAGAGGAGGGCGGAAUUCCCGGUGUAGAGGUGAAAUUCGUAGAUAUCGGGAGGAACACCAGUGGCGAAGGCGGCCCUCUGGACGAUGACUGACGCUGAGACGCGAAAGCGUGGGGAGCAAACAGGAUUAGAUACCCUGGUAGUCCACGCCGUAAACGUUGGGUGCUAGGUGUCGCGGGUAUUGACCCCCCUGCGGUGCCGUCGUUAACGCAUUUAGCACCCCGCCUGGGGAGUACGGUCGCAAGACUAA